CAAAAUGUAGCUUAAGUAAAGCCUCUCGCUUACACCUAGAAGAUGUCUACUAACCUAGAUCAUUUUGA
RNAcentral lists this transfer RNA (68 nucleotides) under Occidozyga laevis. RNAcentral's name for it is "tRNA-Val". Lineage: Eukaryota; Metazoa; Chordata; Amphibia; Anura; Dicroglossidae. The record is from RNAcentral.